This 400-nucleotide ribosomal RNA is filed under the name uncultured bacterium. RNAcentral's name for it is "bacterial SSU rRNA". It matches the Rfam family "Bacterial small subunit ribosomal RNA", at positions 355 to 747 of the family's 1533-position model. The record is from RNAcentral.
UGGGGAAUUUUGGACAAUGGGCGAAAGCCUGAUCCAGCAAUGCCGCGUGUGUGAAGAAGGCCUUCGGGUUGUAAAGCACUUUUGUCCGGAAAGAAAUGGCUCUGGUUAAUACCUGGGGUCGAUGACGGUACCGGAAGAAUAAGGACCGGCUAACUACGUGCCAGCAGCCGCGGUAAUACGUAGGGUCCAAGCGUUAAUCGGAAUUACUGGGCGUAAAGCGUGCGCAGGCGGUUGUGCAAGACCGAUGUGAAAUCCCCGAGCUUAACUUGGGAAUUGCAUUGGUGACUGCACGGCUAGAGUGUGUCAGAGGGGGGUAGAAUUCCACGUGUAGCAGUGAAAUGCGUAGAGAUGUGGAGGAAUACCGAUGGCGAAGGCAGCCCCCUGGGAUAACACUGACGCU